This is an RNA transcript of Colletes gigas, 3063 nucleotides long. It is a transcript of the gene named putative E3 ubiquitin-protein ligase UBR7, with no coding region annotated. The transcript is spliced from 11 exons. NCBI's taxonomy places the organism in Eukaryota, Metazoa, Arthropoda, Insecta, Hymenoptera, Colletidae. The record is from RefSeq and is a predicted model, not a curated record.
CUUACUGUCGAUCGCAAUCUAGAAAAUCAAGUAUAACAAAAUAGUAAUAAUCGAACCGCGCAACUGGAAACAUGUCAAGAAGAAGAAGAAGAAGGGGCAACCGGGGCUAGUGAUUUUCCCCUUAGACGAUUUAGAUAAGGAUGCGUUUCUCGACAUAUGUUGCAAGGGAAAUACUAAAGGAGAAUAAUCGAAGUUCAGUUGUGGUUGGCAACUUCACGGCUACAAAGGUCUGCGAAAUCAAACCAGUAAGAAGAUCGAAAAAUUUUCUGUGCGAAAAUUUGGACGGUUAAACCGGAUACGCGAAACACAAGGCAGCGCUACCGUCGCGAUCAACUUGUAGCAAAUAGAUACGCUGAUACGUCAUAAAAUGUUCAGAUUCAACUGUACCAUGAAACGUUAAACGACGAUUUCGUAUAGGGUACGCGAACUAGUCGUGAUCGCCAGGUUUAAAUAAAUUUAAUCUGUUGUGGCAUUAGCAACGAAAUGUCUGAAAAAAUCCAAGACACGAUCGAAGAGGAGAACUCGGUUACGAUGUUGGACGUGCUACGAGAAGAGAAACAGUUGGAGGAAGAUGCUUAUGCAGUUUUAGGCGCAUCCGAUGACAAAAAUUGCACCUAUAGCAAGGGAUAUACACGGCAAGCCCUUUACGCGUGCAAAACCUGUUGUCCACGAUCGAUAAGAGCCGGUGUUUGUCUGGCCUGUAGUUUUCAUUGUCACGAAGGUCACGAGCUCGUCGAACUCUAUACCAAAAGACAUUUCAGAUGCGAUUGCGGCAACUCAAAAUUUGGAGAAAAAAAGUGUAAUCUAGAGACGACAAAAGACUCUGUAAAUUUGGAAAAUCAGUACAAUCAUAACUUUGACGGAGUUUAUUGCGUUUGCGAGCGACCUUAUCCGGAUCCGGAGGACAACGUAAACGACGAAAUGUUGCAAUGCAUAAUUUGCGAGGACUGGUAUCAUUCCAUGCAUCUUGAGUGCGAACAAGGCAUGCCGUUGGACGGAGCUUACGACGAGAUGAUUUGCACGGGAUGUAUGAUAAAACACGAGUUCCUUUGGAAUUACGCAGGCAAAUACGCGGUGUUUGCAAAGACGCAAGUUCCAUCCAGUGGGAAGGAAGUGGAAUGUGUCGAGGUUGAAAAGCAGCCUAAAGGAUGUACAAUGCCAGAAAACGAUUCCGUAAAGACGUUUACGAAAGGUAGCUGUUGUUUUUGGUCGGAAGGCUGGAGAGCUGCUCUGUGUACGUGCAAGAGCUGCAAUACGCUUUAUCAAGAGAAAAAUAUUACGUUCCUUCUUGAUCCAACGGACAGUGUACACGCUUACGAGGAAGCGGGGAAAAUCAACAGUCAAGAAUCACGGUACGAGAAAGGUAUGAAGGCUCUUGCUUCUUUGGGUCGUGUCGAACAGCUGACAGCCAUCGAAGAGUACAACAAUAUGAAAGAGCGAUUGAAACAAUACUUGCAGAAAUUUGCUGAAAACAAGAAGGUUGUUCGAGAGGAAGAUAUAAAGGAAUUCUUUUCAGAAAUGGAGUCAAAGAAACGACCAAAAGUCGUAAUACCCACAUACUGUCGUUAAAAAAUAUUUUUAUUAAGGAUCGUCGAUCGUUGAGAGGAAAAAGUCUCGAUGAAACAUAGCCGCGCGGUUGCUCAGCCCGGUAACCCACAGACGAUACUUACACCUCUAUCGCUUCCUCCGACCCUCUCUCUGUCUCGCAUUAUAUCUCUAUUCCUCUUUAUACAUAUUUUCUCCGGCAUCUCUUUUCACCGCGCAUCCUUUGUUACACUCGUAUCUUCCACAGAAACCGAAUUACGGAAAUUCUUCUUGUAAUCAGAGACCGCCAGAGGGCGGAGGGGGGAGGUAGGGGGGGAGAGAGAGAGAGAGAGAGAGAGAGAGAGAAUAGGAUAGGAAAAGAAGAAGAAAUACUAAUAUGAUUCUGAAUGCAAAACAUAGCCAAAUAUAAUUAUGUGCUGAAGCACGGAUACGAAGAAACCCCGUACACACUUGACGGUGCACAGUCGGCCAUUAUUCUGGCUUCCCAAUAAGUGUAUUCGCCGGCUGUAAAUGGACAGGAACGACGAGAACUCGUGUCUUUUUUACGGCUUCCUUAAGAACCUUCAUCGAUCCCGUCGUCGUCGCAUUAUUACACAAAGACUGACGCGAGUGAACAGGCAGACUAGCGGAGAACCAAUCGAGACAACUCUUCCGACGCGUUUAACGUUUCUUAAAAAACUGUGUUCGAAAAAAAAUGUUUCACCAACGACGACGAAUUUCCUGUUUCCAUCGUUCGACGAUUUAAACCUUACGAUACUUAACCUUGAAUAUUAACCAACAAACGUCUGAAAUAUAUUAGGAUUAUGCGAAACUGUAUCUCGUAACGCACGAUGAAACAUGAAAAUCGCACUGUUAUCUUCUAACAAUUUAUUAGUAUAUAUUGUAAGUUAUCUGUGUGUAUGUACAUAUUUGGGAGUUUGUACGCAACGUUUAAACGUACUUUACAGACCACAUACUUUGUAAUUUAUCGUACGACCCUUUUCACUUCUAAUCAGCUUUAAACAGAACCAAGCUGCAAAAACCAUCAAUCGCUCCCUUUUUUCUCUACCGCACUCCUGCUGGCUGGGGCUACCACUAUCCUAAAAUUAACACAUUUUCCACGCACUGGCGUAAUUUUAUUACCGAAACUAUUUCUUCUUUCAAGUAAAAACUGGACCAACAGGUUGUCACGAUUAAAAUGAUAUGUAUUUCUGUCGAUUAGAGGGUUCUCCUCGCGAUGAUAAAAGAAAAAAGAAAAAACAUAAAAAAUGGAAAAAAGAAAAAAAGAAAGAAACUUCCUUUAUUUUAUCGAUUGUUUGCGUGUAAUUUGUCGCGAAACAGGAGCGAGAAAGCAAAAGGGAAAGACGUUGGUUUCGCGCGAAAGAUACUUGGAUAAUCGACUAGUUAUCGCGUUAGAUAACAAGAUAUACAAUCGCCUGAUACACGCGUCCGUUCGUUAUUUAAAUAUUUUACUAUGAAAAACAAUUCCGCGCUUUAUUUCGCUUUCGGCUUAUACAGGAAAAAAUAGAAAAGAAAAAG